GACGGGGGAUGCAAGCGUUAUUCGGAAUUAUUGGGCGUAAAGCGUCUGUAGGUGGCUAAAUAAGUCUGGUGUUAAAUACUGAAGCUCAACUUCAGACCUGCAUCAGAAACUAUUUAGCUUGAGUACGUUAGAGGCAGGGGGAAUUCCCAGUGUAGCGGUGAAAUGCGUAGAUAUUGGGAGGAACACCAACGGCGAAGGCACCCUGCUGGGCCGAUACUGACACUCAAGGACGAAAGCUAGGGGAGCGAAUGGGAUUAGAUACCCCAGUAGUCCUAGCUGUCAACGAUGGAGGCUAAACGUUGUCCUUGCAGCGUUGAAGUUAACGCGUUAAGCCUCCCGCCUGGGGAGUACGCUCGCAAGGGUG
Molecule: ribosomal RNA, 364 nt
Filed under: uncultured phototrophic eukaryote
Lineage: Eukaryota
Description: SSU rRNA
Rfam family: Bacterial small subunit ribosomal RNA
Source: RNAcentral